UAGAAGAAAUAAUGCUAAAAUCAGUAAUAAGGGGCCCACCCCCUCCUGACACAAGUGUAAAUCAGAUCGGACUAACCACUGAACAUUAACGGACCCAAAACAAAGAGGGAAAAACAACAAACAGAAAAAACAAGAAAACAUUGCCAAUCCAGCCGUUAACCCAACACAGGAGUGUCAACAAGGAAAGACUCAAAGGAAAAGAAGGAACUCGGCAAACAAAACCCCGCCUGUUUACCAAAAACAUCGCCUCUUGCUAAAACCAAAAGUAUUAGAGGUCCCGCCUGCCCAGUGACCCACCCGUUCAACGGCCGCGGUAUUUUGACCGUGCAAAGGUAGCGUAAUCACUUGUCUCUUAAAUAGAGACCCGUAUGAAUGGCAUAACGAGGGUUUAACUGUCUCCUCCUCCCAGUCAAUGAAAUUGAUCUAUCCGUGCAGAAGCGGAUAUAAAAACAUAAGACGAGAAGACCCUAUGGAGCUUUAGACAAAAGACAAAACAAGUAAACAACACUCGAUAAAUCCAAACAAGAACAACAAAAGUAGUAAGCCUAUGAUUAAAUGAUCUAAAGUCUUCGAUUGGGGCGAUCAUGGGGGAAAAGAAAACCCCCACGUGGUACGGGAACACCCUUAAGACUAGAGGGACACCUCAAAAUCCCAGAAUAUCUGACCAAAAAUGACCCAGAAUAAUCUGAUCAACGAACCAAGUUACCCUAGGGAUAACAGCGCAAUCCUUUUCCAGAGUUCAUAUCGACGAAAGGGUUUACGACCUCGAUGUUGGAUCAGGACAUCCUAAUGGUGCAGCCGCUAUUAAGGGUUCGUUUGUUCAACGAUUAACAGUCCUACGUGAUCUGAGUUCAGACCGGAGUAAUCCAGGUCGGUUUCUAUCUAUGAUCAUACUCCCCCCCAGUACGAAAGGACCCGGGUGAGAGGGCCAAUGCCAAAGACAAGCCCCACCCCCAUCUAUUGAAAACAAAUAAAAUAG
RNAcentral lists this ribosomal RNA (979 nucleotides) under Moringua javanica (Java spaghetti eel). Its description in RNAcentral is "partial 16S ribosomal RNA". It matches the Rfam family "Bacterial large subunit ribosomal RNA", at positions 1283 to 2788 of the family's 2925-position model. The record is from RNAcentral. Lineage: Eukaryota; Metazoa; Chordata; Actinopteri; Anguilliformes; Moringuidae.